Molecule: ribosomal RNA, 402 nt
Filed under: Verrucomicrobiota bacterium
Lineage: Bacteria; Pseudomonadati; Verrucomicrobiota
Description: Verrucomicrobia bacterium partial 16S ribosomal RNA
Rfam family: Bacterial small subunit ribosomal RNA
Source: RNAcentral
UGGGGAAUUUUGCACAAUGGGGGAAACCCUGAUGCAGCGACGCCGCGUGAUUUAGAAGGCCUUCGGGUUGUAAAAAUCUUUUUUAUGGGAUGAAAAUGACAGUACCAUACGAAUAAGGACCGGCUAAUUACGUGCCAGCAGCCGCGGUAAUACGUAAGGUCCGAGCGUUGUCCGGAAUCAUUGGGCGUAAAGGGUACGUAGGCGGAUAAGCAAGUUAGAAGUGAAAUCCUAUAGCUCAACUAUAGUAAGCUUUUAAAACUGCUCAUCUUGGGGUAUGGAAGGGAAAGUGGAAUUCCUAGUGUAGCGGUGAAAUGCGCAGAUAUUAGGAGGAAUACCGGUGGCGAAGGCGACUUUCUGGCCAUAUACUGACGCUGAGGUACGAAAGCGUGGGUAGCAAACAGG